This 729-nucleotide ribosomal RNA is filed under the name Paenarthrobacter sp. BAB-5378. Its description in RNAcentral is "bacterial SSU rRNA". It matches the Rfam family "Bacterial small subunit ribosomal RNA", at positions 58 to 800 of the family's 1533-position model. The record is from RNAcentral. Lineage: Bacteria; Bacillati; Actinomycetota; Actinomycetes; Micrococcales; Micrococcaceae.
CAAGUCGAACGAUGAUCCCAGCUUGCUGGGGGAUUAGUGGCGAACGGGUGAGUAACACGUGAGUAACCUGCCCUUGACUCUGGGAUAAGCCUGGGAAACUGGGUCUAAUACCGGAUAUGACUCCUCAUCGCAUGGUGGGGGGUGGAAAGCUUUUGUGGUUUUGGAUGGACUCGCGGCCUAUCAGCUUGUUGGUGGGGUAAUGGCCUACCAAGGCGACGACGGGUAGCCGGCCUGAGAGGGUGACCGGCCACACUGGGACUGAGACACGGCCCAGACUCCUACGGGAGGCAGCAGUGGGGAAUAUUGCACAAUGGGCGAAAGCCUGAUGCAGCGACGCCGCGUGAGGGAUGACGGCCUUCGGGUUGUAAACCUCUUUCAGUAGGGAAGAAGCCGUAAGGUGACGGUACCUGCAGAAGAAGCGCCGGCUAACUACGUGCCAGCAGCCGCGGUAAUACGUAGGGCGCAAGCGUUAUCCGGAAUUAUUGGGCGUAAAGAGCUCGUAGGCGGUUUGUCGCGUCUGCUGUGAAAGACCGGGGCUCAACUCCGGUUCUGCAGUGGGUACGGGCAGACUAGAGUGCAGUAGGGGAGACUGGAAUUCCUGGUGUAGCGGUGAAAUGCGCAGAUAUCAGGAGGAACACCGAUGGCGAAGGCAGGUCUCUGGGCUGUAACUGACGCUGAGGAGCGAAAGCAUKGGGAGSGRACAGGAUUAGAUACCCUGGUAGUCCAUGC